CCAGGGUAGGUGUAUCCCUGUUAGACUGUAACUACAGAUGUGGGCUUGCUGGGUGAAACAGCUAAUCCUUUCUACAUGUGGCUCACUCUGGAAAUACGAUGCCUGGGGUCGGCAAAAGAGCUCUUUGCACAGGGGCCUGCUGCUGGGUGUGGCCUCUCUCUCCUGGGCCGCGUGGACAGCUGGCCGGGUGCGUCUGUGCUCUUACCUCUCGGGUGAGCUGACUUCUCACUGGACUGGUGAUGGAUGGGAAGGCACGAGGCCUGUGUGUCUGUGGACCUGAAGCGGGGCAGGGUGUAGUUGAAGGAAAACGUCAGGUGUAGGAGUGGGUGGGUGCACGGAGAGCCUGGAGGGGGAAAAAAAACUCUUGGAAAAAUCAAGGAUUAUUGCGACUGCAAGUCCCUGAGUCUUGAGGCAGCAGGAGGAGGGAAGCCAGAUCGGAGCCAGCAGGCACCCAGGGGUUUACAGCAUGGUAUGGCUGGAGGCUGCAAAGCCACGAGACACAAUUCAUCAAAGAGCUGCUGCUGCUGCUAGAGCAGAGAUGGAAGGCUUUCCAGGCCAGUCGGUGAUGCACUCGGAGCUUUCCCCGGGGCAGCCACCUGCGGCACGGUGGCAGCGGAAGCCUUUUCUGGCGGAGCACCCAGCCUGAGGCCGGUCCAGCACAGGAAUUCUGCUCGUCCUCUCCUGACCUACGGCAGUGUCUGGCGCUGUGUCCCACCUCCACCAUCUUGAAACUAUCCUUCCUUGGCCUCCAUAAUAACAGCACACCCGCUCCCCGUCCUUCUGUCCGAGCUCUUCCUGCUGGGUUUUCCCUGAUUCAGCCGUCCACGCCGCUAUUUCCCAGACUCUUGGGAUCCAAAAGCUUGGGAGUAUCUUUCAUUCAGCUGUCGCUUUGGCCUUUCAUGUUUGGAAAUCGCCAUGAUUGUUGGUCCAGUGACUUCACAUGCAUCUGUGACUUCAUCUCAACAGGAUUUUGACAUCGGCUGUUACAGAAAUGAGGCCUGGAGACGCAAAAUCAUCUGCCCGAGGGGUGAAAAGGAGAGCGGGACUCGACUCAAAGCCUGGGCUCAUCCCAUUUCUUGGAGGCUCCCUCCCCGGCGUGACUGGUAGCCUGGCUGGUCUCACACCCCACUAACUCAAAAUGCUGAGGUCUCUCCAUCUUAAAGACAAACUGAUGAACCUUUCCCAGUGCCUGUCUCCAGCUCUUAGCCCUCUCCUGCUUCCCCCUGUACAUACCCGCAAGCCUGCCUUACACUCUUGGGUUCCUCAGUCACUGCAAGCUAGUGUCCGCCUCCCUGGCAUGGCCCCCACCAAGUUCCCUCUGUCCCCAGGACACUCCGUGGCCCUGGCCAUACCCGAGUCCUGUCUAACCCCAUCACAGCCCCUCUUCCACCCAACGUGCCUCCCCUUAGCUUCUCUCCUGAUUUCCUUCUACCCCUCCGGCCGUCCUGCCCUAGUGCCCUCGGCCUCUCCGGCCAUCCUGCCCUAGUGCCCUCGGCUCAGCCCAGCACCUGGAUGCUGCACAUCCCCAGGUUUGGGGUCCAGGCCAUCUGCUCUUGACAAACCCCAUGUUCUCCUUGGUUGGCUCAUUUCCUCAUGUGGCUUCAGUGACCACCACCAUGUUGACAGCUCCCCAGCCUCUCUCUCUAGCUCAGAUAUUUCCCUGUAGCUUGAAAUCUUCAUAUCCCUCUGAACGUGGAGUUCUAAUCCUGAAUCCACCACAUCCCAGCUGGGUGACUGCGAUGGUUAAUUUUGUGUGUCAACUUGACAGGGUGCCCAGAUAUUGGGUCAAACAUGAUUCCAGGUGUGUCUGCGAGGGUGUUUCUGGAUGAGAUCAGCAUUUGAAUCCACUGAACAAAGCAGGUGGCCCUUCCUAAUAUGGGGGGGCCUCAUGCGAUCCAAGGAAUACCUGAAGAGAACAAAAGGGCUACCCCUCUGUGAGUGACGGGGGUCCUCCCGCUGACCGUGGAGCGGGGACAUCGGUCUUUUUCUGCUUUUGGACUUGGACUGAAACAGUGGCUCGUCUUGAGUCUGUUGGGUUGGAACUCACACCAUUGGCUCUUCUGGUGUCAGAACUUCAGACUCAGACCAGAGCUGUGCCAUGAGAUCUCCUGGGACUCCGGCUUGUUUUUGUUCUUGUUGU
Long non-coding RNA from Globicephala melas (long-finned pilot whale), 2140 nucleotides. RefSeq lists it as uncharacterized. The record is from RefSeq and is a predicted model, not a curated record. Lineage: Eukaryota; Metazoa; Chordata; Mammalia; Artiodactyla; Delphinidae.